Molecule: ribosomal RNA, 440 nt
Filed under: uncultured bacterium
Lineage: Bacteria
Description: partial 16S ribosomal RNA
Rfam family: Bacterial small subunit ribosomal RNA
Source: RNAcentral
CCUACGGGGGGCAGCAGUGGGGAAUAUUGCACAAUGGGGGAAACCCUGAUGCAGCAACGCCGCGUGGGUGAAGGAGCGUUUCGGCGCGUAAAGCCCUGUCAGCGGGGAAGAAGAAAGACGGUACUCGAAGAAAAAGCAUCGGCUAACUCCGUGCCAGCAGCCGCGGUAAUACGGAGGAUGCGAGCGUUAUCCGGAUUUAUGGGGUUUAAGGGGUGCGUAGGCGGUCCGGAAAGUCAGCGGUAAAAGUCCGGGGCUCAACCCCGGCGAGCCGUUGAAACUGUCGGACUAGAGACGGCGAGAGGUACGCGGAAUGCGCGGUGUAGCGGUGAAAUGCAUAGAUAUCGCGAAGAACUCCGAUUGCGAAGGCAGCGUACCGGCGCCGAACUGACGCUGAGGCACGAAAGCGUGGGUAUCGAACAGGAUUAGAUACCCUUGUAGUC